RNAcentral lists this long non-coding RNA (4857 nucleotides) under Octopus vulgaris (common octopus). Lineage: Eukaryota; Metazoa; Mollusca; Cephalopoda; Octopoda; Octopodidae. The record is from RNAcentral.
AUUCAACUCUUCGCUGACUUUACACCAAGCUGCGUGUACACACAUUAAAUGCACUCGUAAUAUUUCUCCCUUGUUCUUAAUGUAUCUGAUUCGCUGAGGAUUUCCGAACCGUGGUGGUAAUAUAUGACUUGAACUAGAUUUUUUUUUAUUGGGUUUUAUUUCCCACUGUUUUGCUCUUUGUUUCAUUCCGAGCCUAAUUUAUAUUUUGGUGUAAGAUAGGCGGAUACUUAUACAUGUAAAUAUUGUAUGUGCGUGCGUGCGUGUAUGCAAUGUAUGAAUAGAUAACUGUAGAUUCUUUCUGUGCCUGUGUGUAUUCCUGCUUUAUCAACAUAACGUUAAACUCACGACUGACAGAAGUAAAAUAUAUAUAUAUAGAUAUAUAUACAUAUAUGUAAAAUACGAGCAACAACAUAAUUCUAAAGAGUAAAUUUUUUUUAUAUUACGUCACGUCUUCUGCCAGACUCAUUCGAGACAGUAUAAAAGCUCGGUGUCAUUACCAUUUUAUUUAAAAUCUAACCAAAACCUGUUUCUACUUAUAUUGGCUCGUCAACAAGCAAUGCCACAUACGUUUGUAAAGUUGCAUUUUCUUUCUUUUACAAUUGCUCCUUGUUGCGUGCCUUGACUUCUAAAAUUUUCACACUGGAACUUAUCACGAACAUAUAUAUAUACAUCAAGAAGAAUUUCAUGUUAAAAUCCUAUUCUGUACGCUAAAGUUUAACUGUAGCAUAGCUUAUCAGUUCCCUGCAUGUGUAUAAUGUAUGUAAAUUUAACGAGAUAGUAAACCUACUCACAAUUUUCUCCGUCGCUGACGUAAAUUGUGAUUUGAAGCUAUCUUGUUUAUCUGUUCUCUAAGCGAUGGAAUCGUCGGCAUUGUUAUGUAAAGACGACCUCUGCUAUUGGAGAGCAGACUUGCCGAGGAUUACAGGUGAUCAUUACCAACUAGAAGACGGACAGCAGCUUCAGGGUCUUUUGCCUAUCACAGUUAAUACUUCUAGUAAUAUGCUGUGAUUUUGCUGCUCGUCAUUUUUGUCUUUAGUUUUCCAAUACAGUUGUCUUUCUCUACCAGAACAGGCAACACAGUCACUAAACGUAUUAUUAUCCCUUUAUAAACAUAUAUACCUACACCUUCCUUUUUUUAUAUAUACAUAUAAACAUACAAACACCUAUUCUUACAUACGGACAAAUAUCUGACACCUUGAAGACCUGUCCUUUCUUUACAAAGGAUCGGUCGUUGCUGAAAUGGUGUCUUUUAUGAGUAAAAAGAAACGUUAUAAGUUCAACGUGAAUUUUACACUGGACGAACUUUCUUCCGUGCCAUUUGUCAGCGGAAUUUUGUUUGCUAAAGUGCGGCUACUCGAUGGAGGAAAUUACACACAUUUGUCGUCAAGGUAUGUAUUUUUUGUUUUUUUAUUUUUUAUAAUUGAUUCUCUAAAAAUUCAUUUAUUUAUGACGUUUUACUAGAUUUUAUAGUGUUACUAUUAUUUGUUUUUUAAUCUCCUUAAUUAUUGCCCUUUUUUUUUCUUCUCUCGUAAUAUCGGAAAUGUUGCUUUUCGAUAUAGAAAAAUUAACAAAAAAAAAUGUAUACGAGCGCAUCAACUAUUAUUCAGAAACCCAUAAGUUGCUAUUAUUGUGAAAACACCGAAUUAUAAACCACAUAGGAGACAAAUUGUCUGCGUGUAUAAUCCCCCAAAACACGUUAAUUUGCUAUUCAUGUGUGUAAAGAUAGCAAGAGGGAGAGUCUUUAUUGAAUCCGCAAGUUCUGUUAGUGUUUGAUGCCGGUUUGACACUCCACAUCACCAAUAAUAAACAUAGGAUGAUCUUCCUCUAUUCCACGUCAAUGUAAGUGGAUCGUGACACUUGAGCUAGCACCUGUUUAUAGCUAACAGUAUUUAAGAGACGGGAUACUUCUUUAGCAGUAAGCUAACCCUGACCGAACAAACCUAUACUCCCAGGCGUCUCAGUCGUGACCAUCACGCUAUUUUUACCCAAGCGUAGUGUAUUUAGGACAUUAUCUGAUGGCUUGCCUUUAUUAAAGAUAGGAUGUGAAAUAGAUGUUCUACUGAGAUUUCUAGAAAGUCCAGUGACCCAUUAGAGGCCUCUUUCUUGAUAGGAGCUGGGAUAAUUUCUUCUGAAGGGUGCAGUGAAAUAUUUUCUCCAUCAAUGCUUUCAACGUCACAAAGAAAAUAGUAUGCUUACUCAAAGAUAUUAUUAUCUAAUAGAUAUAGUCAUAUCCAUUUCCACGCCCCUACUAUAUUUUCAGUCCAUCUUUUUCAAAGACAACGGAAAGUCAUACAUCGGUGAUCUGCGUGUGACAUUACUUAAUUUUCUCUAUGAACUUUUUGAAGUUUAUUUUUCUUAUUCAUGGGUUAGUAUUGCAAAUUUCACUGUUUUGCAGUAGUCAUCACCUUUGAAAAUCCGUUGUUCUUUAUAUAUUGCUAAUAUUAACACCUGCUGUAUAACAGGAAACUAGCUGAUUAAAAAGAAAAAGACCAGAAGUUAUAUAUAAUAAACCUUUUAUUUAUCAGCAUCAUCUGCUGUAGUUGGUUUACCUACUUUUCUCCUAACUUGAAUUAAACCACAGACGAAUAUUUAUCAUGAAUUUCUAGUUUAGAUUAUUUAACUUAAUAGCAGGUAAUAAUUUCCUUUACUAUGCAAUGUAUUUCUGACUCACAUGUAUAUGCAUUUCUAAAUUUCUUCAUUGUAGUAAUCGAACCGGUUAUUAUUGGCUGCAUAUUUUGUAAACAUGGGUCACUUUAGUGAACAAAAGUUGACACAAAAGGAAAGCCAUAUUUUACAUCAGGCAUUUAGCGAGCAUUAUUAUCAUAGCAAGUUGAAACAAAAUCGUGAAACUUUUAACCAAUUUAAUCAUUUCUAAGAAACUUAUCACUUGAGUUUCGAAUCUUAACUAUAAUAUUGUGUAAGCGCGUAACUCUGGAUAUUUGAUUUUUAAGGAUGCGUACAAGGGGGUGGCUAUAGGCACGUGUAAAAUGUAUAUAUACGUACGUGUACAUUUUUGCUGACAUGUAUAUACAUGCAUAUUUAGCUCAAGGCGUAUGCUAAUUAAGCAGUUGUACGCUUUCAUAUACAUUAAAGCAUGUACUGUUAUAUACUACGUGUGUGAAUAUUUACCGAACUGACAUAUUUUUCUUUACAUAUGUGGUUUAGAGAUUGUACUUUAAUGCAGCACAGUUUAAUUUAGUAACUGUUAAUAUCUCUGUUCUUUCAUUUGUUUAAUAAAUUAAGGUGUAUGAUAUAUUAACAUAUUCCAUGUUAACAUUUUGGAAUCAGUCAGCUGAUCAUUUUUCGACUUUUUCCUCCAUUGCAUUCAUUUAGAGUUUCAUCGCCUCAGUUCAGCUUUAAUUGAUAUAAUUUAAUUGCAAAUAUUCUUAAAUCAUGCAAGAAUUUCCUCUAAAAGGUAUUAAAAAUAAAGCCUUGUUUGUUUUCGAUUAUUUUUCGAUUUGUUCAUAAAAAAGUUGUUUCGACUAUUGUCUGUAAAGUAUAUAUAACAAAGCUAUUAGAAUAUAUUCUUAAUAAAUUAGUAUGUGGUCUAUCCCUAAAGCACUUUAAUCUCUUGACCCCAUUCAGUGGAGCUAUAGGUAGAUUAACUAUCGUGAGAAUGAUACAAACCAUCCAACUUGUUGAUGUAUUGUGCACUACAUAACGGGAGCAUCUUUGCUUGUAGUGCCUGACGAAAGAAAUGACUUUUACAGGAGCGCUUUUGUAAAUAUUUGGAUGAUGGGUAAACAUUAGAAACUACUAGUCCUAAUCACAACAUGCAGUAUAUGAAUGACACAAAGGUGUUAUAGAGAAACGAAUAGAAUUUCACACACACAUUCUAGUUAUGUAUGUGUGUGUGUGCAGACCAAAUGUGCUUCUUAUUUCAUCCUGUAGUUUGAGGUGGAAGCUCAUUCGUAGUGGCAUUAAAGUUCUAGUUAAUCUAUUAGUUUGAUGAAUUAAGAGUUGUUUUAUGUCGGGAUAGUUAGAGCGUGGAUUAAAAUGCCCCAGGUGUUAUAUAGUUAUGAUCGUUUAGAUAUUGAGUUAAACUUCCGCCGAUAUCUGUUUUACCUUUUAUUUUUCUUAAGUCAAUAGCAACCAUGGACUAGUGUCAAUUUAGUUGACUAUAUUUCUUUCAAGAAAAAAAAAAAAAAAAAGAGGCCGUGAGCCUAUGUUAGAAUCAGUAUUAGCCAUAAACAUAUUAGCUUUCUGGAUUUUUUUUUUUUUUUGGAAGUUUCCAAAAUUAACGUCUAUAAGUAUCGCGUAAUGUAUAAGUUUUAACUGCAAGAAGCUUCAUUAUAUAGAUCAAAUAACAAUACAGACGAAUUAUGAAAGCCACGUUGGACUCAAAACUUCCUGCCCUGGUUAGCAAUAUUGGCUAUAAUUACCAUUAUACCGUUUAGUGUUUAGAUUUCCCUUUUGUAAUUCCAUGUAAGAAGAUACUCUAGUUUUUUUUCAUUGUACUGUAAUUUAAUGUGAGACAAACCAUCUGGAAUAUCGCUAGUUAAUUUUAUAACUGAUCAAGUGUGGACAGCUCGUUACUUCCACUAAUUUUGCAGCAUGUAGUAAUUUAGCGUGGAGUUAAUGCUUGCAGGGAAAAUGUGCAUUCUAAGUGGAUUGUCAAAGGCACCUGGGGAGAGCACAUAAUGCUUAUAAAAAAAACCCCAGAAAGUGGGAAUAAAUGUAUGUAAAUUUUAUCACCUUUGAAAUUUCAUUCAGUAGACCAGCACUGACAAUAAAGAAUACUUUUUGUCCUUCAGAUUAGAAAUGUGACAUCUUUUUUAUUACUUUAGUCAGUAUGCAUUUACGUAAAUAGAACCAAGCAGUAGAUAAACUGGUUGGAUUUAUGGAGGUCAUCCAAUG